This 440-nucleotide ribosomal RNA is filed under the name uncultured bacterium. Its description in RNAcentral is "partial 16S ribosomal RNA". It matches the Rfam family "Bacterial small subunit ribosomal RNA", at positions 338 to 795 of the family's 1533-position model. The record is from RNAcentral.
CCUACGGGUGGCAGCAGUGGGGGAUAUUGCACAAUGGGGGGAACCCUGAUGCAGCGACGCCGCGUGAGCGAAGAAGUACCUCGGUAUGUAAAGCUCUAUCAGCAGGGAAGAAAAUGACGGUACCUGACUAAGAAGCCCCGGCUAAAUACGUGCCAGCAGCCGCGGUAAUACGUAUGGGGCAAGCGUUAUCCGGAUUUACUGGGUGUAAAGGGAGCGCAGGCGGCCUGCCAAGUCUGGUGUGAAAACCCGGGGCCCAACCCCGGGCCUGCAUUGGAAACUGGCGGGCUGGAGUGUCGGAGGGGCAGGCGGAAUUCCUAGUGUAGCGGUGAAAUGCGUAGAUAUUAGGAGGAACACCGAUUGCGAAGGCAGCUUACCAAGCUACUUCUGACGUUGAGGCACGAAAGCGUGGGGAGCAAACAGGAUUAGAUACCCGAGUAGUC